This 869-nucleotide ribosomal RNA is filed under the name Lacticaseibacillus casei. Its description in RNAcentral is "bacterial SSU rRNA". It matches the Rfam family "Bacterial small subunit ribosomal RNA", at positions 58 to 890 of the family's 1533-position model. Lineage: Bacteria; Bacillati; Bacillota; Bacilli; Lactobacillales; Lactobacillaceae. The record is from RNAcentral.
CAAGUCGAACGAGUUCUCGUUGAUGAUCGGUGCUUGCACCGAGAUUCAACAUGGAACGAGUGGCGGACGGGUGAGUAACACGUGGGUAACCUGCCCUUAAGUGGGGGAUAACAUUUGGAAACAGAUGCUAAUACCGCAUAGAUCCAAGAACCGCAUGGUUCUUGGCUGAAAGAUGGCGUAAGCUAUCGCUUUUGGAUGGACCCGCGGCGUAUUAGCUAGUUGGUGAGGUAAUGGCUCACCAAGGCGAUGAUACGUAGCCGAACUGAGAGGUUGAUCGGCCACAUUGGGACUGAGACACGGCCCAAACUCCUACGGGAGGCAGCAGUAGGGAAUCUUCCACAAUGGACGCAAGUCUGAUGGAGCAACGCCGCGUGAGUGAAGAAGGCUUUCGGGUCGUAAAACUCUGUUGUUGGAGAAGAAUGGUCGGCAGAGUAACUGUUGUCGGCGUGACGGUAUCCAACCAGAAAGCCACGGCUAACUACGUGCCAGCAGCCGCGGUAAUACGUAGGUGGCAAGCGUUAUCCGGAUUUAUUGGGCGUAAAGCGAGCGCAGGCGGUUUUUUAAGUCUGAUGUGAAAGCCCUCGGCUUAACCGAGGAAGCGCAUCGGAAACUGGGAAACUUGAGUGCAGAAGAGGACAGUGGAACUCCAUGUGUAGCGGUGAAAUGCGUAGAUAUAUGGAAGAACACCAGUGGCGAAGGCGGCUGUCUGGUCUGUAACUGACGCUGAGGCUCGAAAGCAUGGGUAGCGAACAGGAUUAGAUACCCUGGUAGUCCAUGCCGUAAACGAUGAAUGCUAGGUGUUGGAGGGUUUCCGCCCUUCAGUGCCGCAGCUAACGCAUUAAGCAUUCCGCCUGGGGAGUACGACCGCA